UACGGGGGGGGUAAGCGUUGUUCGGAAUUACUGGGCGUAAAGGGCUCGUAGGCGGCCAACUAAGUCAGACGUGAAAUCCCUCAGCUUAACUGGGGAACUGCGUCUGAUACUGGAUGGCUUGGAUUCAGGAGAGGAGAGUGGAAUUCCCAGUGUAGAGGUGAAAUUCGUAGAUAUUGGGAAGAACACCGGUGGCGAAGGCGGCUCUCUGGACCGAGACUGACGCUGAGGCGCGAAAGCGUGGGGAGCAAACAGG
Molecule: ribosomal RNA, 253 nt
Filed under: uncultured bacterium
Lineage: Bacteria
Description: partial 16S ribosomal RNA
Rfam family: Bacterial small subunit ribosomal RNA
Source: RNAcentral